GGGGUGCUGGAUUAGAUUUUUUUUUCCGUUUUCUGUUGCGUGGGAUCAGGGAUCGAAAUAUAUAUAGAAACAGAGAGACGUUGGGCCGUGGAGAGUUGAAAUCUGAAUUUUCUUUUUUUUUUGUAUGGGACGAGCGGGAUUAAAAUAAUGUGAGGAGAGCAUCCACGCUCGACCAGAGUGCACAUUGACAAAGAUGCAAAAGCCUAUAUAUUAAAAUUUUAACACAUACGUAAAAGCCUGUGUUAAGAGAUCAACUCUUACGGACAGGUGUUAGCUAGACCACGUUGAUAAAGAUGCACGUUGUCAUGUGCAU
RNAcentral lists this long non-coding RNA (313 nucleotides) under Elaeis guineensis (African oil palm). Its description in RNAcentral is "long non-coding RNA (EGUI_LNC034106)". The record is from RNAcentral. Lineage: Eukaryota; Viridiplantae; Streptophyta; Magnoliopsida; Arecales; Arecaceae.